UUCAGCUGCGCGAUAGCUCGUAAGCAAACCACACUGGCAGCCAGUACUCGUCUUUGUCUUCGUCUGGACCGCGUAGCCAGUGAGGUAGCUGUACGAAAAGACAUGUCGUCUUAACGCCAAUUAAUCCGUAUAAUGCGCGUAACCCAUUAUUUUAUCAGGUCAUAGUUCGUGACCCCGUUCCGCCAGCGUGCUGGGAGUUUUUUCUUCUUCCUCCUCCAGCGCCCUUCUCCUUCCUAGCGCACAGAGCGGCGCGAGCCAGACAGCGGUGACGUCAGCCUGUCUGCACCUGAAGGACCGCCUUUGAUUGGCCAAUUUUUUUAAAAUUUUAUUUCUUCUUUUGUAUUCAUACAAUGCAAUGUAUUGAAAUGGCUGUAUCUGGUCAGGAAAGUGAAAAGAACCAGCAGCUUAGGAAAGAGAUGCACGGCUAGUGAUCAUGAAACUGAACUUGAUGACUUGGAUGAGUCUUUAAAUAUUUGUUUUUAAAAUGCUGUUUUUAUACGCUAGUUUUAUAUUUGCAAUAUUUAAAAUACUUUCUCAAGAACCAAUGCUUGUUAAGUAUCAAGUAUUUUCACACACUCCCUUAAAAUGCCACUGAUAUUUCAAAAACUGCAUGUAGGAGUGAUAAAAACGCUUGUGUAUAAUUCCUUAGAUAAAUUUUAGGGAAUACAUUUAUCAGUUUACUUGACUUAAGACUUGAUCUUUAUUCGAGUAAAAGCUAGCUGAUUAUGUUUGGACAAUAGAAAUGGAAUAGAUGUCCACUUUUGUGCCAUUUUGGAAUAAAAUUUGAAGUGGAGAGUCACUUAUAUUCGAAUACAAUGCUUGAGUUAUGCAAAUGUACAUGGAAGUAAAGUUCUGAACACCAUGGGUGCAUAUUUUAAUUAAAAGACUGAUCAGCAUUA
This is a long non-coding RNA of Anguilla anguilla (European eel), 899 nucleotides long. RefSeq lists it as uncharacterized. The transcript is spliced from 2 exons. Lineage: Eukaryota; Metazoa; Chordata; Actinopteri; Anguilliformes; Anguillidae. The record is from RefSeq and is a predicted model, not a curated record.